Molecule: non-coding RNA, 46 nt
Organism: Schistosoma rodhaini
Lineage: Eukaryota; Metazoa; Platyhelminthes; Trematoda; Strigeidida; Schistosomatidae
Source: Rfam
AUCCAGCUAACAAAUCCCAAAAUGGGACGAAACGCGUGUCCUGGAU